This 363-nucleotide transfer RNA is filed under the name uncultured Microcystis sp. RNAcentral describes it as "partial 16S-23S ribosomal RNA intergenic spacer". The stretch from base 135 to 208 matches the Rfam family "tRNA". Lineage: Bacteria; Bacillati; Cyanobacteriota; Cyanophyceae; Chroococcales; Microcystaceae. The record is from RNAcentral.
AAGGGAGACCUAAUUCAGGUAGGAGACGAAAAGAAAGUAGUCGCUACCAAGAAUCAAUCCCAAAAGGUCGGAGCGAGGCGAAAUUGGCUUUCAAACUAGGUUCUGGGUUCACACAAGACCUGAAUCAGGAACAAGGGCUAUUAGCUCAGGUGGUUAGAGCGCACCCCUGAUAAGGGUGAGGUCCCCGGUUCGAGUCCAGGAUGGCCCACCUGUACAGGUGGCAAAAAGAAAGAAAAGAAGCGAGGAAUCAGCACCUUAUCUUACUGACAUAGUAAGAGAGAAUGCUGGCUCUGAGUAAAGAGUCCAGAGGAACCUUGAAAACUGCAUAGAGCUAGGUGAAAAAGCCAAAAAAGAAGACCGCAA